RNAcentral lists this ribosomal RNA (714 nucleotides) under Bacillus sp. (in: firmicutes). RNAcentral's name for it is "bacterial SSU rRNA". It matches the Rfam family "Bacterial small subunit ribosomal RNA", at positions 57 to 754 of the family's 1533-position model. The record is from RNAcentral. Lineage: Bacteria; Bacillati; Bacillota; Bacilli; Caryophanales; Bacillaceae.
GCAGUCGAGCGACUGAUUAGAAGCUUGCUUCUAUGACGUUAGCGGCGGACGGGUGAGUAACACGUGGGCAACCUGCCUGUAAGACUGGGAUAACUUCGGGAAACCGAAGCUAAUACCGGAUAGGAUCUUCUCCUUCAUGGGAGAUGAUUGAAAGAUGGUUUCGGCUAUCACUUACAGAUGGGCCCGCGGUGCAUUAGCUAGUUGGUGAGGUAACGGCUCACCAAGGCAACGAUGCAUAGCCGACCUGAGAGGGUGAUCGGCCACACUGGGACUGAGACACGGCCCAGACUCCUACGGGAGGCAGCAGUAGGGAAUCUUCCGCAAUGGACGAAAGUCUGACGGAGCAACGCCGCGUGAGUGAUGAAGGCUUUCGGGUCGUAAAACUCUGUUGUUAGGGAAGAACAAGUACGAGAGUAACUGCUCGUACCUUGACGGUACCUAACCAGAAAGCCACGGCUAACUACGUGCCAGCAGCCGCGGUAAUACGUAGGUGGCAAGCGUUAUCCGGAAUUAUUGGGCGUAAAGCGCGCGCAGGCGGUUUCUUAAGUCUGAUGUGAAAGCCCACGGCUCAACCGUGGAGGGUCAUUGGAAACUGGGGAACUUGAGUGCAGAAGAGAAAAGCGGAAUUCCACGUGUAGCGGUGAAAUGCGUAGAGAUGUGGAGGAACACCAGUGGCGAAGGCGGCUUUUUGGUCUGUAACUGACGCUGAGGCGC